Molecule: RNA transcript, 8679 nt
Organism: Canis lupus familiaris (dog)
Lineage: Eukaryota; Metazoa; Chordata; Mammalia; Carnivora; Canidae
Gene: CEP72
Gene name: centrosomal protein 72
Exons: 13
Source: RefSeq, a predicted model, not a curated record
GCCCCACUGCGCAGGCGCGGGCGCAGGUGCGUGCCGUUUGAAAGUAUGGCGCCUGCGGGCCCGUGGCUGGUUCUGUGUGAGGAGAAGAUCCGGGAGAAGAGCGGCCUGGCGCCUCACCACGACCUGGCUGAACUUCGGUCAUUAUCUAUUCCUGGAACUUACCAAGAAAAGAUUACUCACCUAGGAAAUUCCUUGAUGCAUUUAACGGGUCUAAAAUCAUUAGACCUCUCACGCAACUCCUUGGUGAGCCUAGAGGGCAUUCAGUACCUGACUGCGUUGGAAAGUCUCAAUCUCUACUACAACAGUAUCUCCUCAUUAGCAGAAGUGCUUUGGCUCCACUCCUUGACGGAACUCACAGAUGUGGACUUCCGGCUGAACCCCGUCGUAAAGAAUGAAUCUGAUUACCGCCUUUUUGUUGUGUACAUGCUCCCGAAGCUCCGGCAGCUAGAUGACCGUCCUGUGAGAGACAGUGAGCGGAAAGCAUCCCGGCUACAGUUUGCAUCAGAGGAGUCACUCAACUCGAAGCAGAGCUUCCCAGCCGUUUUCACAGCCGGAAGACUGUGUCACUCUAGGGCCAUGUGUGCUGACCCCUCGGCCAAGAAAUGCUUGGUCAUGGAUGCAGAUGACGAGGCAGUCCUGAAUCUCAUCGCUGAGUGUGAGUGGGACUUGAGCAACCCUCCUGGGAGCACAAGUUCCAGCCUGAGGGAGCAAGAGACUGACCUCCAUAGUUCCCAAGACUCUGGACAUCUGUUGAGUCCCCACUCAAUGCAGCACCAGUGUGGGGACUCCAUAAAGAAGGGCCACGAGAGGAAGAAAGGCAGCUCUCGAGGGUGUGGUCCAGAGAAGAGGCUCCAGCACCAGUACUGUGGGGAGCUCCCGCCACAGUGUGGGCCGCAUGCACACUUUACCCCACACCCAGAUUCCGCAGACAUUGAGGACCCAGCCGUGUCUCAGAAGUCAAGUUUGUCCACACAAAAGGUGGUAAAUCCAUUGCCUGUUCCUGAAAAGUACAGGAAGCGAAGAAUGCCUGGUGGGAGAUUCCAGGCACCCGCCAACCAGGAGUUUCUGAGCCACCUGGAGAAGCCUGCCAUGCCCUCGAGCCCUGAGGAGACUCUGAGCAGGCACAGUGCCUCCGAGGGCAGGAGUGAAAGGACCUUUUCUCACUCAGAGGUCUCAGAGCCAGAAGAGGAGAGGCCCCACAGCAGGAGUGGCAGCGGAGAGGUGGCUCCCAGACUGUAUUCAGCUGUGCCUCCUGGGAAGAAGGCUGCCCUGGAGGUGAUGCUUCUUGAGGCACUCCUCGACCUGGUGGACAGGUACUGGAGUGGCUGCAAGUCCCUGCAUGGCAAUGAGGUGUUCCAAGCUCAGGCAAGACAUAUUUUGUCAUCUGUGCAAGAAUUUACAACAACUCAGGAUAGUUCAACACUUGUGAGUGAAGAAAUUAGCUACCUUACUCUGGAAAAUAAAUCUCUACAGAAGCACCUUGCUGAGCAGCAGCAGCAGUACCGUGUAAAGAUUAAUGAGGUGGCAUCAGAACUAAGCAACACACAGAAGGAGAUGGAUGACUUGAGGCAACAUUUAGACAAAUCUUUGGAAGAGAAUAGUAGCUUAAAGGCUCUUUUGUUCAGCAUGAAAAAAGAAGCAAAAAAUGCAGACACUGCGGCUACAUUAAAUGUGCAGAUCACUGGACUUCAAACAAGUGUGAAGAGGCUCUCUGAUGAGAUUGUGGAAUUAAAGCAGCAUCUGACACACUAUGACAAGAUCCAGGAGCUCACCCAGAUGCUUCAGGAGAGCCACAGCUCAACACCAUUUUUGCCAUUCCGCCUGGCUCACCCCCUGCUAAUCCAUUUGGCAAACCGUCAGUGUUCUAGAACCAGGUCCUGUGGAGGCAUUCGCCGCUGCACAAGGACAGCUAUGGGAGCAGGAUCCUGAGUGGGACACCCCGCAGCACUCUGCAGCACCCCGCAGGCAGCUGUCCAUGCCCGUAAGCAGAGGGCCUACGAAGCCAAGAACAGGCUGAGGAUCUGAUAACCUCACAGCCAUGGGGACAAACCCGCACAAGGCUUUGCGCAAAGGCGGUCCAGCAGAGAGAGACGUCUUCUCAACAGAUGGUGUGGGGACAGCCGGCGACCCAGCUCUGAGCUACGCCUUGCAGUGCAUACAGAAAUUAAACCCCAGCCCUAGAUUAAUCAUAAAUCCUAAAACUAUAAACUUCGGGAAGAGUUCUAACAAAAUCUUUGUGACCUCGGGUGAGGCAAUGAUUUCUUAGAAAUGGCACCAAAAUAGUCCAUAAGAGAAAAGAAAAGAAAUUGGAAUUCACCAAAAUUUUAAAAACCACGCCCUUCAAAAGACGCGGUUAUGAGGGUCCCACAACCAGCUGCAGGCGGGGAGGGAACACGUACAGACAGCUGAAAUGGACAACCCUUCAAACUCAACCAUAGGAACAACCGAACGUCAAACACUUGAGUAGAAACCCUGAACCAAACGGCGUCUCCAGAAGACUCGACAGCAAACCCUGAGCCCACCUGGCCCAUGGUGAGGGCCCAGUGCACACCCACGGGACACCUGGUGGGACUAAAGUGCUCACACGAGCACUUGAGAGGGCGUGGGCAGCAGGGCGCUCAGACCCGGUGUCCACUCAGGCAGGUGGCAGUUAGGGCUCCCGCUCCCCGCACCUGGGCUCUAUGGGAGAAACAGACUGGAGCCCCACGUGAACUACGAGCCAAGUGUCCUUCAGCAGCGAAGGGACGGACAGAACACACGGGGGCUCCAGGGCGCCUUAUGUGUGUGUCUGAAGCCAGCCUGGAUGCUGAGCACAGCCCCCUCUCCCCCCAGUCCAUCCUGUGGCACUGGUCCCAACCACACCGCAGGGGCUGGUGACCUGGUGGACACAGGGCUUCCCCAAAUCCAGUGGUGGGCAGUGGGUCCUGCUCCCGAAGCAAUCAGCUUUGACCCCCGUGCAGCCUCCGAGCAGAACCCCUGGAGCAGCACAGUCCCCACAACAGCGGCCCCACACGGAGAACCCUGCGUGCCUUGCCACCCAGCGAGGCCCUGUUUGUUUGUCUCCAGCCAUCAAAGGCACUCCUGUCUCCUCUUCACGCCCUGCCCAGGCAGCGUGUGGAUGCCAGGCCUGACGGCCAGCCCAGUGACUGGCUGCCGGAGCACGCAGCCCUCUCUGGGCACCGCGGCACCAGGCGCCACCAGUGUGAGUCACUUGGGCUGGGGGUGGGGGGAUGGCUGAUGGGGACUCCUGCCAGAGGCCACAUUCAGAUCUGGUGGACACACAGGCCUCAGGCUGACUUGCCCGCUCCACCUGGCUGGGCUGGGUGUCCCCAAGUGUCCCCACCGUGACUGCCCAGCAAGGAGUUCGCCCCAGGGGACCCGGCGCCCUGCUGCAGAGAGUUGUCCCCAGCAAGUUCUAGAAUGACAAUGCCUGUCUCUUCCCCAGAGACACUGAUCACAUUACACCGCUCUCUGGACACAGAGUGAGCCUGUUCUCCAGAGUUCACAGAACUGGAGGGUGUCCCCACAAUGAAUCCCCUCUCUCCCCAGCUCCAGGCUGGGCCGGCCCUGCAGUGAGGGGGUCACUGGUCACACAAGGCCCUGUGAGCUGGGGUUUCACUUUGCUUCCCAAGCCCUGUGUCCCCCAGGCCUCUAACCUAACUGUGGGCGGGCAGGGGGCUGGACCCUGCCAGUGCCAGAGGUCACCCAGGGACAUCAAGGAGCCAGGCAAGGACCAGCACAGCCCUCCAGAGACAGAUUUAUGUGUGAGAACCGCACACUCCUCACCAGCACCUCCGAGCAUCGGGUUCGAUGGCACUCCCGGGAGCCCCUCUCUCAGAGGUGGUGCCGGCGUCCUGGCUCAUCAGAUAACUUGCCACCCCCGGCUGGAAGUUGCUGGCUUUCCCUGGCUCCCCUGACCCUCCAAGCCAGGGCCCUGGAUGACCUGUCCAGACAGCCAUCUGGCCAGCCAGGACACCAGUGCAGGCAGGAAGUGGGGCGUUGAGGGGCCACUUAGGGCCCUGGUGAGGCUCCGUGGGAAGAAGGGGCCCCUGGGAACCUCGCUGUGGACGUGACCUGGAGCGGCUCCGACUGCAUGCUGUGCCCCAGGAGGACCACCUACUGCGGUCACACCUGCCCCGGCUCCCGCCCACGGCUCCCCUCUGCCACUGACGGCUGCGAUGCUGCCCCUGACCUGGGCGCCCCCCGCCACCCCUAACUGCCAUCCUGGCUAUGUCAUGGGGUGGGCUGUGGGGACGGAUAACGUGGAGGUCACCGAAACCAUUUCUGGGUGUUUGGCAAAGGUCAUCCUCUUAAAAGGCCAUCGUGCAUGGGACCCCGCGCCCACAUCAACCUGGCGAGGAGCCAGCAGGCCAGGAACAACCUGGUUCCUGUGCUGUGCGGCCUUGACCCUGGCCGCAGAGGCUCUGUGCUGCCUGUCACCUGCCCACCACUGCUGACCCUGAAUCCCACGCAGCCUGGAGCGAGGAGCCCCCAGGCCCAUCAGGGCUCCACCCGCCCCUCCUGCGGGCGCCAACCCCCAUGGUGUCCUGGGGGAUCCCCCGCCCCAGGCACUGGACAUGGUGGCGAGUGUUUGCCAUUCCAGCUCCCUGCCUGAGACCGUUCCCGCCAUGCCCUGGCCGGGGCCACAGGGCAUGUGGCAAGAACGGAGCAGGUUGGUGGCCCACAGGCCGCAGGGAGCCCCGCCAGCCCGCUGCUUCCUAACCUGCUCAGUCGGCGGCACCCGCCCAGGUGGGAAACAGCCCCUCACUGCGAACACAGGGCACCCAGGAAACACGCGAGGCUGAUGGAGACGCCCGCCGCCCUCUGCACCCUCGGGCCUGGCCUCUACGCCUGUGCCUGACCUGAGCACAAGCACGCAGGCAGGACGGGCCGUCAUCCUGGGCUCCCCAAAUAGGGCUUUCAGGGUGACAUUCCUACUGUGCACCCAAGUCUGGACUAAUUAAUAUUUCAGACUGCCCCGUCGGCUCCUCGGGUUGGGAGGGUGCAGGAGCCUUUGUCUCCGUAACAAUAGUGUUCAAUCAAGACCUGGUGUGGAGCUGCAAGAAAUUUGUUUAAAAUUUAACACAUAGUAACAUCAAAACAAACAAGCGCUGCCGUGGCAACAGGACCUAAACAAAGCCCGCAGAUACCCGGGCUGGCGCCACCGCCCGCGGAGCCAUGGCAACCGCCCGCAAACAGAGAGCGGGUGCCUCUCCACCAGUCAGCGCCUCGGAGCUUCCACGCCUUCCACGCCGUGGCUCCCACGAGGCACGGGCGCUCCUGCCGUGACCGCCGCUUGGAGGAACUGCCCAAGACCCCUUGGCGCAUGUGCCUGCCACCACCCCCCUGACAAGGCCAAAUGAAAACAACUUUUAACAGGCUCCUUGGGGUCUCCGGACGGGGGACCCCAUGACCCUUCCAGGGACAAGGGCAGGGGCCCCCACCACACCCUCCAAGGUGCCCCGCAAGCCUACCCAGGCAAGGGCCCUGUGCCUGCUCCCUGGUAGGUGCCCUUGGGGCCAGCGCAGCUUAGUGUGACUGUUGUGACCAUGACCCCAUGCCGGGCUGAGGGCACCACUGCCCCCUCACCAGACAGUCCCUGCCUCAGCCUAUAAGUGAGCACUGUCCGCCCCGCUCCCAGGACAGGGACUGCAACCAGAUGGGGCUCCCCUCCUGGGGCCCACAUGAGUGACGCCAGUGCACCACAGGUGGGCAGAAGGACCCCCAUUCCUCCCUGGCUGGUGGGCUGCCCGUGCCUCCUGCACACAGGGUCUCCGGGCCUGUCUGGGGCACCUGCCCUUGGAAUGAGCCACCUCCCCACCACCUAGGGUGUGGAGAGCCUGAGUUCGACCUGCGAGUGCACCUGCAUGCAACGGUGCACGUGUGUGCAUAUGUGUGCAAAAGCCCACAUGCAGCAGCUCGGAGGCAGUUUAAGUGGCAGGAACAGACGGCCACAGAAGAGCCCCAGUCUCCUGUCCCCGGCGGUUCAACGUGUGUGCUGGCGCCGGGGGUAUGGGAGCCAGUGGCGCCUCCUGCCUCCUUCCCCAGUGGCCAUGGCAGUCAGCAUGGUUCUCCCGCUCCCGGUCUGUCCAUGUCUCCUGGGUGCACAUGGUGUCCCAAGGCCCAAUGCUCAGGACCUGGAGGACACCCCAGGAAAGGGCGUGGGGAGACCCUGUGGGGCCUCCUCGGGGCUCCUGUUGGCGUGUGGGAGCUCGCGCUCCGUGAAAGCUCUGUGCCGCAGACACGUCCUGACGUCUGGGGGUCGGCCAGCACAGCUGCACCUGUCUGAGACCACCCUGGACCGUCCCCGGGAGCCACACCGCAGACCGCCUGGCAUUUCUGAGCAGGGAGAGCAGGUCAGACCACCCGGCGGAGGCUGCGGCGCCAGAGAGCCUCUGAAGCCCUUCCGCUGAGGACCCCACGCCGGAGCCCAGUCCCUGCUGCUGAGAGCAUCUCCACAGUCCAGGGCCAGAGGGACAGCAAGUGGAGGGACCCCUGCAGGCUGCCAGGCGGGCGUCCCGGGGCGGUGGGGGAGGCGGGCUCCGCGGGCCUCACGGACACACGGGAGAGGACAAGAUGCAGCCCCCACCCGGCCCCCUCCCCUAUGGGCACCACCUCCCUGGCUCGCCCCUCCUGGGAAUGUCCUUGGUCAUGAGGCCACGCCCCCCAGACUCCCCAACCCAUGGUCCCUGCUCUGUGGGAGUGACCCUGGGGACAGGCGGACUUGACCCUGGGGACAGGCGGACUUGGCUGAGCAGCGCACAGCUCUUUCUCUCCAGGGUCAGCCUGUGGCCCAGGAGGAACUAGAGGAAACCCCAAGGCGUGGCAAAAGGGAGGCCCAGUCGCUGCAGAUGCAGACGGAAGACACUGUUCAUGGCCAAAUGCAUGGGGGGCCCAGUCAUGAGCAGGGAGGACACAUAGUCCUCACAUGGAAGAUGCCCAGGUGACGGCACACUGUGACCCAGACGAACACGUGUCGCUAAUAAGCUGAAAGCUACUUUCCAACAACAGCCAACAAGCAGUGGACACCAGGUAGCCUCGGGGGCACCGCUGCUUUUCGCAGGCCUGGUCAUGGCAUUUGCAAGGCAGGAGGAGGCCCUUGGGCCGGAGGGCCCCCAGCGGAAUGGGGGGGCGGGUAACGAUGCCUGACACCCCUGCGUCCAGGAGGAAGCUGUCACCGAGUCCAGGCUGGAUGCACCGAUGCCAGCGGUUCUGUCGUCAACGUUCACCGCGCUCACCCAGGGCCGCGCUGCCCGCCUGCCCACCCACCCGAGGGACCUGCUCUCGCCCCACGGCCAGUGCAGCGGCCCACGGGCCGGGCCCCCACCCAAGGCACCCCGACAUCCCAUCCCGAGCAGGGAGGGGCCCCAGAGGUGAGGCCUGGCCGGGACUUACUUGAUUUUGCUGAAGACGAUGUCCACGUCGGUGACAGUCACGUUCUUCCCGUCGAUGACCUGGCAGUCCUUACACAGUUUCGACCAGUUCUUGCCGUGCAUCUCCUUCCCGGUGGCCCUGGUGUCCCCGUGCACAGCAAACCGCCGGAAGGCCUCCUCCAGGGCGCUGAGCUCCGGGGCCGUGGCCGCCGCCCCCUCGGGGGCACCUUCCGUCUCCAGCGACAGCCUCUUGGCUGCCCUGUCCUUUGCAGGGUCUCCUGGGGACUUGGGGGGCGUCUUGUUGGCGGCCUUGGCGGACUUGGCCUUACUGUCAGCCAUGUUGCUGGGGGGGGGAGCGGAGAAGGGUCACCGGGCCCCCGAGGGGCCACACACAUCAGAAUGGGCGCCACCCUCCUGCCCGCCACCGUGCCACCGUGUCCUCCCCAGAACGACAGCCUUCCCGCGAUGGGAGGGGGACUCACAGCUGAGCCUGGCGACCUAGCACCCAGGGGCCCGGGGUGGGGGGGACGACCCGUGCCAGGGAGGCCACCAUAGGGUCCCUGCUGUCAGGAGCUCGGCAGAGCCGGCUGCCACCUGUCCGUGGGUCUCUGCCUUUGUGGGGCACCUGGUCCCCAAGCUGGUGGGUCCCUGCGGACCACAGGGGCUUGCCCGCCCCGUCGCUGUGUCACAGCUGCUGGCCCAGGCAGGAGCUGGGGAUGCCUGAGCCCCUCAGGGGUGUGCGGCCGUCCCAGAGGAGCUGUGGGUGGCCGUCCAGGCCUCGGGGGCUCAGCAGGAGGGGAAUGCAGCUUGGACAGCAGAGCCCACAGGUGGUGGCGCCCCCCGCUCCCCUCACCGCUGCCCACCUGAGUUCCCCGCACCAGCUUGCCCAGAGGAGGCCAGGGCACAGCACCCGGGCUGGGGGCGGCCGUACGGACGGAGACGGUCAGCAGAGCCAGGUCAGCUCAACGCCACCUGAUGUCCUCAAAGGCAACAGCCCCCAGCCGUCCCUGCAUCCCCAGGGGGCCGCAGAAGUAUAGCCGCAGGACCAGGACCCGUGUCCACGGAGCUCCAGCAGCAGGACGAUGGUGGAGACAUGGGUCGGACCCUCAGGGCUCCCACCCACCUGGGACAGGGAGCGCCCGCCCUCACGGGGACUCAGAACACAGGCCAGGUGACACCGUCGCUUCCAGUAUUAUCAGUGACACCAUUUCUUUGUCUGAAACAGGAGCUUGCUGGGCUGAGGUGGGAGGGCUCACAUCCCGGGCACUCCUUCCUGUCCUUUGAUAAAUCCCUGUGCUGUUUCUAA